Non-coding RNA from Chrysemys picta bellii (western painted turtle), 279 nucleotides. Lineage: Eukaryota; Metazoa; Chordata; Testudines; Emydidae. The record is from RefSeq and is a predicted model, not a curated record.
CCCUCCCGCGCAGAUGUCCUGGGGCGGGAACCCAGCGCCCGUCUCCGGCUGCAGGAGCUGCUGGACCGGCAGCGGGGCCUGCGGGAGACGCUGGGGCUGCGGGUCGCCGAGCUGCGCCGGCUCUGCCUGCAGGAGGCUGAGCUGACGGGGAAGCUGCCCCCCGAGUACCCGCUGGAGCCGGGGGAGAGACCCCACCUCAUCCGGAGAAGAGCGGCGCCCGCCCACCGGGGACCUGGAGCUGAGGCGCUGGCGUGGGAGCUGUGCCGGGAGCUAGGGGAA